Molecule: long non-coding RNA, 478 nt
Organism: Sander lucioperca (pikeperch)
Lineage: Eukaryota; Metazoa; Chordata; Actinopteri; Perciformes; Percidae
Exons: 3
Source: RefSeq, a predicted model, not a curated record
UGUUAUUUUCCCUCAGGAUCUAGGCGUUUUCGCACACCUCAGCGUGGAGUUCAAAUGCCAUCACAGUCCGGGAGCAGAAGCUUAUUCCCCAUGUCUCAAGCUAGUACGUCCAUGGUCAAUAUUUAUUAUUGUAUCAUUCUUUAAUAAUCAUAAGGUAAGAUUUAUAAAGUACGUGACACAAAAAUAAAUGAAUGUAUUUUCUUCCACAGAAUACCAGAAGUGCUUGGAAAGCUUGUUGAACUUCUAGAUGAGAUAAAAAGAGUCGGGAGGCACUAUGAGCCCUUGAAUUCUGCUGUCUAUGUUGCUAGGCUAGAAACCGAAGAAGAGUUUGCUCAAGAAGAGGCACGUCUGUCCUCUGGGAACAAAGGGUGUCCCAGCUCUCAAAGGUGGGAGGGAGGAACAAUAAAGACUGUGUCCAUAAAGUGAUGGACAGGCUCUUCACCAAGAGCCUAAUGGCUUCUUUCAACGUGAAGGGUCG